CAGCAGCCGCGGGAAUACGUAGGGUGCAAGCGUUAAUCGGAAUUACUGGGCGUAAAGCGUGCGCAGGCGGUUCGCUAAGACAGAUGUGAAAUCCCCGGGCUUAACCUGGGAACUGCAUUUGUGACUGGCGGGCUAGAGUAUGGCAGAGGGGGGUAGAAUUCCACGUGUAGCAGUGAAAUGCGUAGAGAUGUGGAGGAAUACCGAUGGCGAAGGCAGCCCCCUGGGCCAAUACUGACGCUCAUGCACGAAAGCGUGGGGAGCAAACAGGAUUAGAUACCCCAGUAGUCCCUGUCUCUUAUAA
RNAcentral lists this ribosomal RNA (301 nucleotides) under uncultured bacterium. RNAcentral describes it as "partial 16S ribosomal RNA". It matches the Rfam family "Bacterial small subunit ribosomal RNA", at positions 509 to 809 of the family's 1533-position model. The record is from RNAcentral.